GCUGUCAAGAUGCAAAUAAGUGAUCCUCCUCACCAGCCACACAUGAGACCUUUUGUCUUGAUAUUUUACUCCGAAUCCAAUGGGACCUUCUGUAGGAUGCAUAAACUGAGGCUCUGAGAGGUCAUAUAGCCUGUUCAAGGUCAUUCAGGGAAUGAUGGUGGCACCCGACCUAUGCCGAAUCCAUAGCAUUACAGAAGAUCCAAGCCUCACAAAGAUGGUUGAUCCAGCACCCCAGAGCACCCCAGAGCACCCCACAGUGCCCUGCUGGCUGAUGAGAAAGAGUCACAGAGUUCUGGAGAGAUCUGGAUUGACCUCCUUCUUUUAACCGCUUAGGCAGGGGUAUGGCUAAUGGGGCAGCCUCCCUGACUUCCAGCAUUCUGCAUCGUAAGAGUGAGUGCAGGAGCAGGGAGGUGACCCAAGGACCUGCCAGA
Molecule: long non-coding RNA, 431 nt
Organism: Suricata suricatta (meerkat)
Lineage: Eukaryota; Metazoa; Chordata; Mammalia; Carnivora; Herpestidae
Exons: 3
Source: RefSeq, a predicted model, not a curated record